GGCGCAGUGAAAGCGCGGGGCGCAGCACCCGGCUCCGCGCCUUGUGUGGGCCGACGAGAUAAGGGAUGAUGGCCGUCGCACGCUCCGCAACGGGGCGGCCGGCAUGCCAGCAAUCACGGGGCGCCUCGUUCUCUGCCGCAGGCGCACCCGGAGCGCACACGUUGGGACCCGAAAGAUGGUGAACUAUGCCCGGCCAGGACGAAGUCAGGGGAAAUCCUGAUGGAGGUCCGCAACGAUUCUGACGUGCAAAUCGAUCGCCAGAGCUGGGUUUAGGGGCGAAAGACUAAUCGAACCAUCUAGUAGCUGGUUCCCUCCGAAGUUUCCAUAAGGAUAGCUGGCGCAGGGUUUAAGGGAGAGUCUCAUCCAAUAAAGCGAAUGAUUAGAGGACUUAGGGCCGAAAAGACCUCAACCUAUUUUCAAACUUUAAAUAGGUGAGAUCUCUCGCUUGCCUGAGCGAAGCCGCGAGAACCUGGAUGACGGUGGCAAGUGGUCCAAUUUUGGUAAGCAGAACUGGCGCUAUGGGAUGGACCAAACGCCAGGAUAAGGCCCCUAAACCGGAGCUCAUGAGA
RNAcentral lists this ribosomal RNA (569 nucleotides) under Mastotermes darwiniensis (giant northern termite). RNAcentral describes it as "eukaryotic LSU rRNA". It matches the Rfam family "Eukaryotic large subunit ribosomal RNA", at positions 713 to 1209 of the family's 3401-position model. The record is from RNAcentral. Lineage: Eukaryota; Metazoa; Arthropoda; Insecta; Blattodea; Mastotermitidae.